GUAGGUGGCAAGCGUUGUCCGGAAUUAUUGGGCGUAAAGCGCGCGCAGGCGGGGUCCCUUUAAAGUCUGAUGUGAAAGCCCACGGGCUCAACCGUGGAGGGUCAUUGGAAACUGGGGGACUUGAGUACAGAGGAGGAAAGCGGAAUUCCAAGUGUAGCGGUGAAAUGCGUAGAGAUUUGGAGGAACACCAGUGGCGAAGGCGGCUUUCUGGUCUGUAACUGACGCUGAGGCGCGAAAGCGUGGGGAGCAAACAGGAUUAGAUACCCUGGUAGUCCACGCCGUAAACGAUGAGUGCUAAGUGUUAGGGGGUUUCCGCCCCUUAGUGCUGCAGCUAACGCAUUAAGCACUCCGCCUGGGGAGUACGGCCGCAAAGGCUG
Molecule: ribosomal RNA, 377 nt
Filed under: uncultured organism
Description: partial 16S ribosomal RNA
Rfam family: Bacterial small subunit ribosomal RNA
Source: RNAcentral